AGACCCAAAAUGCGGAACCAGCAAAAUCUCGCGAGCUAAGGCUUCGUUCUGCUCCUCCCCGCUGAGAGGGUCUGGAGAGGCCGCUUUUCGCACCGCCCGCUCCUCCGCCUCAGCCAAUCAGCAGCCUCUAGGCCGGGACUUCCGCUGCCGGAGGCGUGGUGGAAUUGCGGUCUUCGGACUGGAAGAGCGGCUGAGCCUGUGGUAUAUACAGGUCUGGAGCUCAAAGAAGAGACCAGGAUGAAGAUCAUCUUGGCAGAGUUCAAAAGCUAUUUCUCUCGUGUCUUAAAAAAGAAAGGGACUUCCCUGGUGGCGCAGUGGUUAAGAAUCCACCUGCCAAUGCAGGGGACAUGGGUUCGAGCCCCGGUCCGGGAAG
Non-coding RNA from Delphinapterus leucas (beluga whale), 373 nucleotides. NCBI's taxonomy places the organism in Eukaryota, Metazoa, Chordata, Mammalia, Artiodactyla, Monodontidae. The record is from RefSeq and is a predicted model, not a curated record.